UGGGGAAUAUUGGACAAUGGGCGCAAGCCUGAUCCAGCGACGCCGCGUGUGUGAAGAAGGCCUGCGGGUUGUAAAGCACUUUCGAUGGGAACGAAAUGUGCCGGGUUAAUACCCCGGUAAGCUGACGUUACUCAAUGAAGAAGCACCGGCUAACUCUGUGCCAGCAGCCGCGGUAAUACAGAGGGUGCGAGCGUUAAUCGGAAUUACUGGGCGUAAAGCGCACGUAGGUGGCGACGUAAGUCGGGUGUGAAAGCCCCGGGCUCAACCUGGGAAUUGCAUUCGAGACUGCAUUGCUGGAGUACGGAAGAGGAGGGCGGAAUUCCCGGUGUAGCGGUGAAAUGCGUAGAUAUCAAGAGGAACACCUGAGGUGAAGACGGGUUGCUGGGCUGACACUGACGCUCAGGCACGAAAGCAUGGGGAGCAAAAGGGAUUAGAUACCCCCGUAGUCCCUGAGCGGGCUGGCAAGGCGCAU
RNAcentral lists this ribosomal RNA (472 nucleotides) under uncultured bacterium. RNAcentral describes it as "bacterial SSU rRNA". It matches the Rfam family "Bacterial small subunit ribosomal RNA", at positions 355 to 825 of the family's 1533-position model. The record is from RNAcentral.